RNAcentral lists this ribosomal RNA (451 nucleotides) under uncultured bacterium. Its description in RNAcentral is "bacterial SSU rRNA". It matches the Rfam family "Bacterial small subunit ribosomal RNA", at positions 29 to 524 of the family's 1533-position model. The record is from RNAcentral.
AACGAACGCUGGCGGCAUGCCUAACACAUGCAAGUCGAACGAGACCUUCGGGUCUAGUGGCGCACGGGUGCGUAACGCGUGGGAACCUGCCUUUAGGUUCGGAAUAACUCAGAGAAAUUUGAGCUAAUACCGGAUAAUGUCUUCGGACCAAAAGAUUUAUCGCCUUUAGAUGGGCCCGCGUAAGAUUAGCUAGUUGGUGGGGUAAAGGCCUACCAAGGCGACGAUCUUUAGCUGGUCUGAGAGGAUGAUCAGCCACACUGGGACUGAGACACGGCCCAGACUCCUACGGGAGGCAGCAGUGGGGAAUAUUGGACAAUGGGCGAAAGCCUGAUCCAGCAAUGCCGCGUGAGUGAUGAAGGCCUUAGAGUUGUAAAGCUCUUUUACCCGAGAUGAUAAUGACAGUAUCGGAAGAAUAAGCUCCGGCUAACUCCGUGCCAGCAGCCGCGGUAAU